RNAcentral lists this ribosomal RNA (253 nucleotides) under uncultured bacterium. RNAcentral describes it as "partial 16S ribosomal RNA". It matches the Rfam family "Bacterial small subunit ribosomal RNA", at positions 524 to 776 of the family's 1533-position model. The record is from RNAcentral.
UACGAAGGGGGCGAGCGUUGUUCGGAAUUACUGGGCGUAAAGGGCGCGUAGGUGGCCGAUCAAGUCAGAUGUGAAAGUCCUGGGCUUAACCUGGGGACUGCAUUUGAUACUGAUUGGCUUGAAUUCGGGAGAGGAUAGCGGAAUUCCCAGUGUAGAGGUGAAAUUCGUAGAUAUUGGGAAGAACACCGGUGGCGAAGGCGGCUAUCUGGACCGACAUUGACGCUGAGGCACGAAAGCGUGGGGAGCAAACAGG